GAACUGCAUGCUGUACAAGUGUUAGUCGGAUAUAAGGGCAUAAUCGAUUGCUGGAAAUUGAAAUGGAUCCUAGACAUGCUGGAGAAUUGUUGAGGCACUUGGAGAAGCAGAAUGAGCAGCUUAUGGAGGUUUACAGAUCAAUGUUUAAUGAAAUACAAAAGUUGCAGGUAGAAGAAGAGAUGAUGAUGCGCAAAUCUUAUGAAUUCAUGAAAGCUCGGGAAUCAAAUAAAAAUGUGGGUUCUUCCAAAGAGCCCAAAUCAUCCAAGUAAUUUAUGGUUUAGAUUGUCACCACCCAAGAUCAUACCAGCAACAAAUAAGAAGGCAGUGCAUGGGUUCUUCUUCGCUUCACCAAGUUAACCGAAAAUAGAUGUAAUGUUUUGUUUGUUGAAAUUUUGAGAAACAUAUUCAUAAAGAUCCAUAAUUUUUGUAUCUAGUUGUUUCUUGGUUGAAGCACAUUUUAAUAUCACCAAAUCAAUGACAAUUAUCAAAAGAAACAUUGCAUAAUUUUGAUAGUAAUUAUUGAAGAACUAAAUUCCUCUUU
Long non-coding RNA from Impatiens glandulifera, 541 nucleotides. RefSeq lists it as uncharacterized. The record is from RefSeq and is a predicted model, not a curated record. The transcript has 3 exons. Lineage: Eukaryota; Viridiplantae; Streptophyta; Magnoliopsida; Ericales; Balsaminaceae.